This 360-nucleotide ribosomal RNA is filed under the name uncultured bacterium. RNAcentral's name for it is "partial 16S ribosomal RNA". It matches the Rfam family "Bacterial small subunit ribosomal RNA", at positions 338 to 696 of the family's 1533-position model. The record is from RNAcentral.
CCUACGGGGGGCAGCAGUGAGGAAUAUUGGGCAAUGGGCGGGAGCCUGAACCAGCCAAGCCGCGUGAAGGAAGAAGGCGCUAAGCGUCGUAAACUUCUUUUGUCGGGGAACAAAGGGCGCCACGUGUGGCGUUGUGAGUGUACCCGAAGAAAAAGCAUCGGCUAACUCCGUGCCAGCAGCCGCGGUACUACGGAGGAUGCGAUCGUUAUCGGGUUUGAUUGGGUUUAAAGGGUGCGUAGGCGGUCCGGAAAGUCAGCGGUAAAAGCCCGGGGCGCAACCCCGGCGAGCCGUUGAAACUGUCGGACUAGAGACGGCGAGAAGAACGCGGAAUGCGCGGUGUAGCGGUGAAAUGCAUAGAUA